CUUCGAUUUCAGUCUCCUUCUCCCCAUCUCCUGUCCACAUAACUAUGUUUAGCCUCUUUCUGCAGCUCCCCCUGCCAGAGAUUAAUUCAAUUGUUUUUUGGCGUCUGCAUACACUGUGUGAAGAAAUGGGAGGGUGGGUCUUGGCAUGAGCUCUCGUACUGUAUGUCCUGACGCUGCAACCUCCCCUGGGGUCACCACCUGGCGCAGGUGAAGGAGCCGCCAGACAGGGACCCUCAUUUCCACUGGAGCACCGAGGCUCACCCUGCUGCGCUGUGCUGGCAUGUCUGCCCUGUUUUCUGGGAAGGCCGCCGUGAUUAAGGGAUAGACACCUCCACAAAAGGAGUGGGGGGAGGACGAGGAGGAUAAAGUCUGAACAGGAAUAAAACGUGUUCACAACGCCUCUUAUAUGCCAAAGAGCCCUUUCCCAUGGUGUGCAGAAGACCCAAGCUGAGCCAAACAAACAUUUUGGAGCUUUUUUCCUACAACUGAGUGACCUGCAACUUACAGAGUACCCAUGGGUGAACAAGUUAAGUGGCUGAAAUGGGAAGACAUAUGUCUUUUGAUGGGUCUUCACCGGUGUGGAGGAAAGCCGAACUGGGGCUCCCAGGCAUGAGCUGCGAGAGGGAGACCUGUUCCUGAGAGAGAUGAAUGGAAAACUGUACCACGCCGGAAUUUACUGUGGGAACAACGAAGUCAUUGACUUCACAGUUCCACAAGAGAAGAAAUUAGCGCAAACCAUCUCAUCAAGUCAAUUGUCCUGUGGUGACGUGUGCAAAAGACACAUCAAACAUUUUACAAAAUCUUCAGGAAAAAUGGAGGCACUCCAGAGCAUUUUCAAAGACGAGUUUGCGGCGCAAUGAGCCUUGAGAAAGCCUACAAUAUCCUCACAUUCAACUGCCUGCAUUUCGCCUUAUGGCUUCUGGGGGACGAAGGUCAAAACAAAAUUGACCAUACAGUCCAGUAAUUGCAGGAACUAUGGUAAAGGAUGUCCACAUGAACCAGAAAUCCAUUUGAACUUUAUGGAUGAAGAGCUUCAGAGGAGCAGCAGAGGUGGGCACCUGCGGCCUAA
This is a long non-coding RNA of Alosa sapidissima (American shad), 1069 nucleotides long. RefSeq lists it as uncharacterized. NCBI's taxonomy places the organism in Eukaryota, Metazoa, Chordata, Actinopteri, Clupeiformes, Clupeidae. The record is from RefSeq and is a predicted model, not a curated record. The transcript is spliced from 7 exons.